RNAcentral lists this ribosomal RNA (274 nucleotides) under uncultured bacterium. RNAcentral describes it as "partial 16S ribosomal RNA". It matches the Rfam family "Bacterial small subunit ribosomal RNA", at positions 523 to 796 of the family's 1533-position model. The record is from RNAcentral.
AUACGGAGGGUGCAAACGUUAAUCGGAAUUACAGGGCGUAAAGCGUGCGUAGGUGGUUUGUUAAGUUAGAUGUGAAAGCCCCGGGCUCAACCUGGGAACCGCAUUUGAAACUGGCAUACUAGAGUAUAGGAGAGGAAAGUGGAAUUUCAGGUGUAGCGGUGAAAUGCGUAGAUAUCUGAAGGAACAUCAAUGGCGAAGGCAGCUUUCUGGACUAAUACUGACACUGAGGUACGAAAGCGUGGGUAGCAAACAGGAUUAGAAACCCGAGUAGUCC